RNAcentral lists this ribosomal RNA (502 nucleotides) under Psora decipiens. RNAcentral describes it as "LSU rRNA". It matches the Rfam family "Eukaryotic large subunit ribosomal RNA", at positions 95 to 600 of the family's 3401-position model. The record is from RNAcentral. Lineage: Eukaryota; Fungi; Ascomycota; Lecanoromycetes; Lecanorales; Psoraceae.
GAAGCGGCAACAGCUCAAAUUUGAAAUCUGACCCUUUGGGGUCCGAGUUGUAAUUUGCAGAGGGUGUUUCGGGCACGGUGCCGGUUUAAGUCCUUUGGAACAGGGUGUCAUAGAGGGUGAGAACCCCGUAUGUGACCGGUCGUCAAACCUAUGUGAAACCCCUUCGACGAGUCGAGUUGUUUGGGAAUGCAGCUCAAAAUGGGUGGUAAAUUUCAUCUAAAGCUAAAUAUUGGCCAGAGACCGAUAGCGCACAAGUAGAGUGAUCGAAAGAUGAAAAGCACUUUGGAAAGAGAGUCAAACAGCACGUGAAAUUGUUGAAAGGGAAGCGCUUGCGACCAGACCUGCUCGCGGGUGAUCAGCGGUGCUUUUCGCGCCGUGCACUCAUCCGCGAUCAGGCCAGCAUCGGUUCAGGCGGCCGGACAAAGACUCGGAGAAUGUAGCUCCCUCCGGGGAGUGUUAUAGCUCCUUGUGCAAUACGGCCAGCCGGGACCGAGGACCGCGC